GCAACACGUCAGGGGAGUCCCGCCGAAGGGACUGAGAGGCUGAUAUCCGCCGGGGAGAUCCGGUGGAGGUGAUGCGACCCUUAGAACCUGACCCAGUUGAUGCUGGCGUAGGAAGACCGAAGGGCAUUUCC
RNAcentral lists this non-coding RNA (131 nucleotides) under Celeribacter indicus. RNAcentral describes it as "TPP sequence". It matches the Rfam family "TPP riboswitch aptamer (THI element)". From Rfam's summary of the family: Vitamin B(1) in its active form thiamin pyrophosphate (TPP) is an essential coenzyme that is synthesised by coupling of pyrimidine and thiazole moieties in bacteria. The previously detected thiamin-regulatory element, thi box was extended, resulting in a new, highly conserved RNA secondary structure, the THI element, which is widely distributed in eubacteria and also occurs in some archaea. Lineage: Bacteria; Pseudomonadati; Pseudomonadota; Alphaproteobacteria; Rhodobacterales; Roseobacteraceae. The record is from Rfam by way of RNAcentral.